GACGAACGCUGGCGGCGUGCUUAACACAUGCAAGUCGAACGGUAAGGCCCUUCGGGGUACACGAGUGGCGAACGGGUGAGUAACACGUGGGUGAUCUGCCCUGCACUUCGGGAUAAGCCUGGGAAACUGGGUCUAAUACCGGAUAGGACCACUGCCUGCAUGGGUGGUGGUGGAAAGCUUUUGCGGUGUGGGAUGGGCCCGCGGCCUAUCAGCUUGUUGGUGGGGUGAUGGCCUACCAAGGCGACGACGGGUAGCCGGCCUGAGAGGGUGACCGGCCAACGUGGGACUGAGAUACGGCCCAGACGCCUACGGGAGGCAGCAGUGGGGAAUAUUGCACAAUGGGCGCAAGCCUGAUGCAGCGACGCCGCGUGAGGGAUGACGGCCUUCGGGUUGUAAACCUCUUUCAGCACCGACGAAGCGCAAGUGACGGUAGGUGCAGAAGAAGGACCGGCCAACUACGUGCCAGCCGCCGCCGUAA
RNAcentral lists this ribosomal RNA (478 nucleotides) under uncultured bacterium. RNAcentral describes it as "partial 16S ribosomal RNA". It matches the Rfam family "Bacterial small subunit ribosomal RNA", at positions 28 to 523 of the family's 1533-position model. The record is from RNAcentral.